RNAcentral lists this transfer RNA (91 nucleotides) under Lacrimispora indolis. RNAcentral's name for it is "[Clostridium] indolis tRNA-Ser(tga)". It matches the Rfam family "tRNA". From Rfam's summary of the family: Transfer RNA (tRNA) molecules are approximately 80 nucleotides in length. Their secondary structure includes four short double-helical elements and three loops (D, anti-codon, and T loops). Lineage: Bacteria; Bacillati; Bacillota; Clostridia; Lachnospirales; Lachnospiraceae. RNAcentral also lists the same sequence under 1 other name. The record is from RNAcentral.
GGAGGAAUACCCAAGUCCGGCUGAAGGGAUCGGUCUUGAAAACCGACAGGAGCUUAACGGCUCGCGGGGGUUCGAAUCCCUCUUCCUCCGC